RNAcentral lists this non-coding RNA (21 nucleotides) under Arabidopsis thaliana (thale cress). The record is from RNAcentral. Lineage: Eukaryota; Viridiplantae; Streptophyta; Magnoliopsida; Brassicales; Brassicaceae.
GGAACACUAGUGUGAGGGCUU